UACGUAGGGUGCAAGCGUUGUCCGGAAUUAUUGGGCGUAAAGAGCUUGUAGGCGGUUUGUCGCGUCUGCUGUGAAAUUUCGGGGCUCAACCCCGAACUUGCAGUGGGUACGGGCAGACUAGAGUGUGGUAGGGGGAGACUGGAAUUCCUGGUGUAGCGGUGAAAUGCGCAGAUAUCAGGAAGAACACCCGUGGCGAAGGCGGCUCUCUGGGACGGUACUGACGCUGAGACGCGAAAGCGUGGGGAGCGAACAGG
RNAcentral lists this ribosomal RNA (254 nucleotides) under uncultured bacterium. RNAcentral's name for it is "partial 16S ribosomal RNA". It matches the Rfam family "Bacterial small subunit ribosomal RNA", at positions 524 to 776 of the family's 1533-position model. The record is from RNAcentral.